Molecule: ribosomal RNA, 508 nt
Filed under: uncultured bacterium
Lineage: Bacteria
Description: partial 16S ribosomal RNA
Rfam family: Bacterial small subunit ribosomal RNA
Source: RNAcentral
GACGAACGCUGGCGGCGUGCUUAAUACAUGCAAGUCGAGCGAGAAAGCUCCUUCGGGAGUGAGUACAGCGGCGAACGGGUGAGUAACACGUGGGCAACCUGCCCAAGGGAGCGGGACAACCCGAGGAAACUCGGGCUAAUACCGCAUGAUGUGUCAUGUCAUAAGGCGUGACACCAAAAGGUAGCUUCGGCCUCCGCCCUUGGAUGGGCCGGCGGCGCAUUAGCUUGUGGGUGGGGUAACGGCCUACCAAGGCGACGAUGCGUAGCUGGUCUGAGAGGACGAUCAGCCACACUGGGACUGAGACACGGCCCAGACUCCUACGGGAGGCAGCAGUAGGGAAUCUUGCGCAAUGGGCGAAAGCCUGACGCAGCAACGCCGCGUGAGGGAAGAAGGCUCUCGGGUUGUAAACCUCUUUCAGGUGGGACGAAGCUUCCAGGGUUAAUAGCCCAUGGGGUGACGGUACCUCCAGAAGAAGCCCCGGCUAACUACGUGCCAGCCGCCGCGGUAA